CAAUGUUGUUUAUGGCAAUAAAAGUCAUUGUGGAUCAAUAACAAUGCUCAUUUGCUAAAAAUAUACAAGCAUUGAUUCCAUUUCCAAACUAUUAUACUAUGUGAAUAUAUUGGCAAUUAAUCCAAUUAUAUAUAAAAGGAGAUACAGUAGGAUUGAAAUAGCUACCAGUUUCAAUCAAAUAACUACUUUAAUUUCUGUAUCAAGCCUCCUGGGUGUUAUUGUUUCCCAAGCAUCAUUGAGGGGGCACUUGUUCUAAAUAUAUGCAAUAAGUCUGGUUACCAUUAAAAAAUGUCCAUAUUCAGAGUUACCGUUGUACUAUAUUUUAUUAAAAUACUGCAGAAAUGCAAUAUAUUUCAUGAUUUUAAGAAUUAAUUGAAUGGGGACUGCAUGGUUAAAAGAGGAGGGGGGCUUAUUUAUUUUUGUAUCCAAAUGAGGGGGGGGGGUUAUUGGAGAGGGGCUUAAAGAGAAGGGGGCUAAAUAUAGAAAUUACAGUACCUCCAUUCUUUCCUCUCCCUUCCCAAACAUGCUGCAGGAGAGGGGGCAACUGCAGGGGUUAAAGCAUGGAUUGCAAGGUUGAUGUAUAAUUUGCAUGGUAUGUACCUGGUAAUAUGGAGUAAUGGGCUAGUAAAUAUAUCCUUGCCUAUAAUUAGUUGCUGAUUAAAUGUUCAAAGAUAUACAGUGUGAAGCAUGAAAAACAAAUGGUAGAUACCCACUGCAACAACUUUUCAACAAAUAUAUAUGGAUUUGUUCACUUCAUUUCUUACUUUCGACACAAGUAAUUAU
This is a non-coding RNA of Paramuricea clavata, 783 nucleotides long. The record is from the annotation of a GenBank genome assembly. Lineage: Eukaryota; Metazoa; Cnidaria; Anthozoa; Malacalcyonacea; Plexauridae.